AUCUUCAGGGCGGGGUCAGAUUCCCCACCGGUGGUAAAGCCCACGAGCGCAUAAGCUGCAUGAUUCGGUGAAAUUCCGAAGCCGACGGUAUAGUCCGGACGAAAGAAGAG
Molecule: non-coding RNA, 110 nt
Filed under: bovine gut metagenome
Description: FMN riboswitch (RFN element)
Rfam family: FMN riboswitch aptamer (RFN element)
About the family: The RFN element is a highly conserved domain that is found frequently in the 5'-untranslated regions of prokaryotic mRNAs that encode for flavin mononucleotide (FMN) biosynthesis and transport proteins.
Source: RNAcentral